RNAcentral lists this ribosomal RNA (475 nucleotides) under Rhabdias kafunata. RNAcentral's name for it is "partial 12S ribosomal RNA". The record is from RNAcentral. Lineage: Eukaryota; Metazoa; Nematoda; Chromadorea; Rhabditida; Rhabdiasidae.
UACGUUUUAAACUUGUACUUUAAUUGAUGUUUAUUACAAAUUUUUUUAUAGAACUUUAAAAAUUAUAAGGUAGAAUUAGAAUUUUUUGCAUAGUUGUUGUUUGUAAUUUUAAAUUUUGAUUGAACGAACUAGAGUAGAACCUAGUUAGACAAAAAUUAAAAGAGCAGAAGUAAAGUUGUAUUUAAACUGAAAGGAUAUUGGCAGGUUUUCUAAAUUAUCUUUGGAGGCUGAGUAGUAAUUGAGAGCCCUCAUUAGCUGCUUUAUUUAUUUUCGCAUGUAUGAUCGUUUAUUUAAAUCUUAAAGGUAGUAAUUAAAGAUUAAAUUUUCUAUAAAAACAGAUAAAUACCUGGUAUAUGAUUAAAGUAAGAUUUGGCCUACAUUAUUUUAUAAUGUGGAUAAUAUUAUUGGCAUAAUAUUUGAAAAUGUAAAAGACAGUAAAAAAUUUUUAAUGUAUUUUUGAAGAUUAUCUAGGGAC